RNAcentral lists this ribosomal RNA (401 nucleotides) under Candidatus Mycoplasma turicense. Its description in RNAcentral is "bacterial SSU rRNA". It matches the Rfam family "Bacterial small subunit ribosomal RNA", at positions 227 to 644 of the family's 1533-position model. Lineage: Bacteria; Bacillati; Mycoplasmatota; Mollicutes; Mycoplasmatales; Mycoplasmataceae. The record is from RNAcentral.
UGAUAUAUGUCCUAUUAGCUAGUUGGCGGGAUAAAAGCCCACCAAGGCAAUGAUAGGUAGCUGGUCUAAGAGGAUGAACAGCCACAAUGGGAUUGAGAUACGGCCCAUAUUCCUACGGGAAGCAGCAGUAGGGAAUCUUCCACAAUGGACGAAAGUCUGAUGGAGCAAUGCCAUGUGAACGACGAAGGCCAGACAGGUCGUAAAGUUCUUUUAGAGGGGAAAAAUCUGAUGGUACCCUCUGAAUAAGUGACAGCAAACUAUGUGCCAGCAGCUGCGGUAAUACAUAGGUCGCGAGCGUUAUUCGGAUUUAUUGGGCGUAAAGCAAGCGCAGGCGGAUGAAUAAGUUCUGCAUUAAAAGCAGCUGCUUAACAGUUGUUUGUGCCCGAAUACUAUUCAUCUAG